This 1508-nucleotide long non-coding RNA is filed under the name Mustela putorius furo (domestic ferret). Its description in RNAcentral is "lncRNA (ENSMPUG00000029547.1)". Lineage: Eukaryota; Metazoa; Chordata; Mammalia; Carnivora; Mustelidae. The record is from RNAcentral.
CUCUGGAUCCUUCAGCCGUUCUGGAAUGUAUGUUCCUCCAGCUGAGGGUGGACGUGUGACUGCAGCCAGCAUUGUCCCCAGGGUCCUUGCGGCUAACCUGUCCUGAUCCGCGUCCAGGGCACUCACUCGCCACCGCAGCUAAAUGAGGGCUGCCUGCUGGUGGCGCUCGGUGUGGCCUGUGAGGAGCUGAAGGGCGGCAUCUCUGACAGCAGUGUCCCGUGACCCACCUACACACGGUCUCCCUCCAAGGGUCGGUUUGCCGGAGAAUGUAACCUACAACAGCCAUAUUAAGAAAAAUAAACGAUACUGUUGCUCUCUUCUCUUGAGGUCCUGUUGUUGUUUAGUUCAUCAGCCGUUUCUUCCAUUGGUGACAGUGAGGGUCAGUGUUAACCUCUUCCUCUGCCUCAUGAGAGAUGACAUUUACCAGCAAGAGUUCCGGAGGACGGGAAUGAAAAUGGCGGGCUCCCAGUCUCUGGCCCGGAGGAGUCAAAAGCUCGGGGGCCCACUCCUCAGUGUGCCCUCAGAGAAAAGCACGCAAUCACUCCCAUCUCCGUGGCCUCCAGCUGCGCUCCAAGCUCACCCAGCCUUCGACCGUUUCAAGAACUGCUUGAUGCCAAGGAUCCAGUAGACGAUUCCAAGGAGAACCUGGAAGAUACAGAGGCCAGAAAUGGAAGAUGCUUAAAUCCCUGAGUCAUUGCAUAAAAAGCUACCUGUCGGACACCUGCCAGUGACACAAGUGGAAUAUAAACCUUUAUUGAAUUAAGCAGUUAAGAUGAAGAUUUAUUCACUACUGCAGUAUAUCAGAGCCUAUUAAGGCUAAUACACUUUUGUAGUUAGCCUUCUCUGGACAUAGACCAACACCUCAGUGGCCCUCUUAAAAGACGACACCAUUUUUAUAUCAUCUGAAUACAGUUUUUCAAAUGUGACCCAGGUCUGAUGGAAGAAAAUGCCCUCCUUAUUUUCCUGAGUAUAUUUUAUCAACGCUUUCCAAAGUUGCCUUGUGCUUAGCAGCCACCUCACACAAACAUGUGUGGCACGAGUUAGCCCUGUAGCUAACAAAAAACACCAAAGUAUUUUCAAACCAACUUCUCUUAAGCUAGGGGCAGGACAGUUAAUAUUCACCAAAUAUCCCACCUACUUUCCUACACUUCCCAGCUUCCCCUGUAGUUCAGUUGAAGCUAGUCUGUAUUUCUGAGAGUGGAGAUGGCAUGUGCCGCUAGAGACAGUGUCCCCCGCCAUUGCUCUCUUCAUUGCAGUGAACUUGGAAGACGUGCUCCAGAGGAAGGUAGACUUCAUAACUUGCAUCAGACAUUUCAUAAAUGAGAAAUAAACAUCUACUGUGCUAAAAUGCUAAAAAAAAAAAUAAUGCUGUUUGAUAUCAAUGCUUGCUUUAAAAUACAGUGAUCAGUUCAGUGUUGUCAUAAGGAUAGAGAAAGACAUUAACAGAACAGAACACGGAGUUCCAAGGAACCUCCACGUGUAAGUUCAGUUGAUUUUUGACAAAGACA